UUUCCGUAGGUGAACCUGCGGAAGGAUCAUUACCGAGUGUUUGGAUGCCCCCUCGCGGGGUGUCCGUCCUCCCAUCCGUGUCUAUUUGUACCCUGUUGCUUCGGCGGGCCCGCCCUUCGUGGCCGCCGGGGGGCUUCCCUGCCCCCGGGCCCGCGCCGGCAGGAGACCUCAACCAUUGAACACUGUCUGAAGGUUGCAGUCUGAGUACCGAUACAGAAAAUCGUUAAAACUUUCAACGACGGGUCUCUUGGUUCCGGCAUCGAUGAAGAACGCAGC
RNAcentral lists this unclassified non-coding RNA (276 nucleotides) under uncultured fungus. Its description in RNAcentral is "sequence contains ITS1, 5.8S rRNA gene". The stretch from base 228 to 276 matches the Rfam family "5.8S ribosomal RNA", at positions 1 to 49 of the family's 154-position model. The record is from RNAcentral. Lineage: Eukaryota; Fungi.